Mus musculus (house mouse) is the source of this 9515-nucleotide long non-coding RNA. RefSeq annotates it as predicted gene, 30422. The transcript is spliced from 3 exons. NCBI's taxonomy places the organism in Eukaryota, Metazoa, Chordata, Mammalia, Rodentia, Muridae. The record is from RefSeq and is a predicted model, not a curated record.
CAGCCAAGGGGCUCUGUUCCUGAAACUCAAGUUCCUGAGACCGGCAGCCCAGGAUGCUCUUUGUGACCUGGGCAUUGCCAUGGAGAAGCUGCACACGGCUCAGGACCGGGCCAGGCCUUGCUUGUCCUGUGGCCACAAAGCUACAGGACACAUGGUGGGAACACAUGGAACCCUUCUGAUGACACGGCAACACUUGGCUUUAGACCCAGGCUUGGAAGAGCGCGUUGAAGAAAUGGAGUGUGGGAAUGGAAAGUCAGCCUGACUAUACCAUAGAAGUGUUGGAAUGAGGAAGGUAGCUUGGUGAAGAGCCGCUCAGUUCAUGUCUACAGUGGACACAAGUUCUCCCGGGCUUGAGCCUUGAGGGAGCAUCCUUCCCUGAGCAGAGCUGUGUCUCUGCAGGAGAGACUGUACCUAAGACCAUGCUCAAACCCUGCCUUGCCACAGCUGGCCAGGAGGGGGCGCCAUGGUCUGUCUCUGUCACCAGAAGCAGAGAUGGGGUGGCAAGACUGGCUGGGGAGGCCCGAGACGCUCUCUGGGGCAAAUGUAGCAAAGAAUCCUCAAAUAAACACAGCAGGGACACUUAGAGCUCCACACACGGUGUAUCUAUGGAUAGCCUCUGGGCUGUGGUCCUGGAUGGGCAGAGGGGAGAGGGCUGUGAGGACGCCCUCUGCAGGCCUCUCAUGUCACAGUAUUGUCCUAGGGCCACUGUGUCCCGGUCCCCUCCCUUCCAGCACUGGCAGGUGAUGACCCCCCCCCCCAUCCCCACUCUGGUGGAUCCUGCACACUGGAGCCAAUCUGUGUCCUGACUAUCAGGGCACACAGAGCUAUGCCACUAUUCAAGGACCUGCUCUGGCUAUCCAGCACUGCUCCUCUGUCCCAUAAUGGCAUCUUCUGGCUUCCUCCAGGAGGGUAUGCUGAGUGCCUUGUAAACCACAGACGUUUAUAUUCUAUGGCUCUUGUUUUGGGAAGUUGAAGCGCUGGCCCAUUUGGUGAGAGCUCGCUUCCUGGUUCAACAGUGCCUCAUGGAUGGUAUGAGGACUCUCUCAGACCUCUCAAAAAUGGAAUAAAUAUCAACAUGAGCCCUUCAACCUCCUAAAGACCCCCAUCGUGUUGGAGAGUUAGGAUCUCAACAUAUGGGUUUGGGGGAGGGGAUACAAACACUUAAUCUACACCAACAAGGCAAUUAAUAUUGCCCUGUCUUCCAAGGCUAGCCUCUCUGUAGCGAGGGCUUCCCACUCCCCACCCCCCAUCACCUAGUCUUUUGCUAAAUGAAGUAUCCAGAGAGGCAAGAACUGAAAAAAAAUCACGGGGUAUGAUUAUGAGAAUUGAGUCAUUAAAAAUGCCUCUCCCACAACUCCUGAUACCUAUACCAGUGACAGGCAUUACCAAUUGAUCUCAGAUUUCCUCUUUGAGCCAGAACUUAGAUUUCCCCUUCAUUGAUGCUAUAAAAGAGAUGAGAUUAUAUGCCAUGGGUUGUCUGGGAUGGAAACAGAGGACUUGAGAGGUCAGGUGACUGGCCUUAAGUCAUGAAGUGAUUUAAGGCAGAGCAGGCCUAGGUCUUCUCUCUCCUUUCCUCUGGCCCGGGGUUUUACAAUAGGUAUAUGCAUGAACUCUGUAUUCAUAUUCUAGAAAUUAGUUUCUGCAUCAAGCUCUUGUGGGGAAUGGAGAUCUGUUAGGAACCUAUACAUCCAGGAUAAGGUCAGGUCUAUCGACCCAGCUGUCCUCUUGGUGCUUGUAAUUUAGAUACAUGGAAAGUGGGAGAUAUCUGUCCAGAGAGCAGAGAUGGGCCAGGGUAGACUAGAGGAACAAAGGGUACGGCAGAGCCUAGGCUUCUGUUUCUGGCCAUCACGGGCUUCACUUCCCCUCGCAGGGUCAGGAGACUUAAGAAAGAAUCGCCCAGAGGAUGCCAGGCAAGCACUCGGAAUUGGCUAUAGCCAGGGUAUAGUGCUUAACAUGAGCAACCCCUGGGCUCCUUGCUGUUUCCCCAGGCAGCAGGAUGGCCUAUUACAGGGAGAGAACAAGGGCAGAGGGGAGCAAGACCCUGCUGGGGAUGAGUCAGGAGACAUGCGCAAAGCAGGGGUCCAGAGCUAGGCAUGGCUGCCAUUGGGGCAUGGCUGUGGUUGGGCUCUAUACCAUUAUUGAACCCCACUUUUGUUGUCCUGGGGGCCCUAGGGAAGGCUGGGGUGAGGUUCAGAGAAGCCGAGCCUGAAGGGUCUGGGGUUUGUAAGAGAAAAUGAUCCAAUGGUCGGAUGAGAGCUGCAAGCCUGUAACUCUUCCCCUGUCUUAGCCAUCUGACCCCUGGCCUCGCUCCAUCUAAGCUCCGGAAGCCCAGGCUCCUUUUCCAGAGGCAGAGAGGUCUGAGGCUGGUCAAGAGGCUUAGAGAAGGACAGAGCCGAGGAGCAGAAUAAACAGCCCUUCUUCUCCGGAAAAUGACCCUGCUGAUCCCGGAGUUAAAAAUAGUGGCGUAUUGAUCGUGGGCUGUGCCUAGCCAGCACCAGUUAUCUGAGCCUCACUGGCAGAAGGACCUGUCUGACUCAGCCACUCAGGUAAUUUAUUUUUUCCAUUCAGUAGCCAGGAAGUGUCCCCUGCACAUCCUGGGAUGAGCCACGACACCCCCUAACCUCAGAGUUCAUCAUUCCUAUGUUGGGGUGCUUAACCCUAGGGAGAGGGAGAAGGUCACAUUUCUCUAUUUGUUCCUCAAAGACACUGCAGGGUCUUUGUGGGAUGACGUGUCUGCUCAGAGUCUUGUUUUGUGGGUUUAUAGGACAACCUACCGCUCACGGACCACAGGUCCAAGCGUAGCGCACGGUUCAGGCCUCCACACCUGGUUGUCCCUGUUGCUGUCCAUCAGAGGGCACUGCAGGGCACCUGGACCUUCCAGCUUCCUGGUGAUGACCAGACCAAGCUACUUCUCUGAGUGGUGGCUUGUGUUUUCAAUGUGAGUCCACGGUGGGUAGGAGGAUGUGGAGAGGGAUGGGGACAGGGUGCCAGGUGUUUUCCCAAGAAAGACACUGAACCCAUGUGAUUUCCCAUGGGUUAUCCUGUUUACUCAGGCAUUCUCCUCAGCCCUUUCCAUUACAGGGGUACAGGGGUUGCCUCUGAGUAAAAUCCGGUUCCCCAAAAAUGUAUGUCUACACGGAACACCAGAAUGUGACAGUGUCUGGGUCUCUAGCCUAGGAAUGACAAAACCCAGCAAGAGUCACAGGUACUAGAUUCAGGCCUAGGUAGGCUUUCCUCUCAGAGCCCAGGGAAGGCCCUGACCCACUUGCACCUCCAUUUUGGAUGCAUGGCCUGAGAGCUGUGAGGUAGCAAGGAUUUGUCGUCUCAGGCUACCCGCCCUGUGGUCAUGUGGUAGGGCAGCCAGGGAUCAAGGCUUCCUUUGUAGAAAUGGCUUAAGGGCUGUAUCAGGAUGGCAAAGAAGUAGCCGUGAUCCCUGAAGCCAGCAGCACCCCGGGCUUGGAGUUAGAACAUCAGAGCUCCGCAUCACCUUCUGAGGCCUUGGCUUUGUCACCCUACAGUGGGCACGGUCAUCCAAACUCACAGGAAGAGCGCCAAAAGCCAUUGCAGGCCCACCUGCUAGGGCAGUGGCUGUGGAGUGGAGGGUGUGGUCCCGAGGGCUAAGGGCACGGCUUUUGCUUCCACUGCUGCCCACCGUGCCCACCCAGAUCUGGAAGACGCUAGGUAGAAGAAUCUGGGGCCGGGUACAGGCAGAACUGAAAACGUGGCUUUAGAUGAAGCCAUUGCUUCCGAGGAGAACUUGAACUAUGAAAGCCGACGGACGGUCUAGGGCCAGCACCUGGCUCUCUGUGCCGCUGUGGCCAGCAGACGAAAGGGCACACCAAGGAGGGAGAGGCUUGCAGGCGGCUUGAGCACAGCCUGGCUUUCAUCAUGCAGGGCCCUCAGCCAACCCGAGCUUUCUAGUUUGCUCUUCUUUGCCCUUCAGUCCUUAGCAGCCCUCAGUCCUGCUAUGGCCUGGAUGCUCCUGCCCUUUCCAACAUUGAAGCUGACAUUCUAGACUCAGAGGUAACACAUUAGGUGGGGGCCUCAGUGGGGUGAUCAAGCCAUGGACCAGAGACGACCUGAGUGGGAUCAGUGCCCUUUCAAAUGAGGUCUGAGAAACCCCUCACCUUAUCACAGGAAACAGGGCAUCUGUGAACAGGCUAGCCCUCACUAUACAUGGACUGACUGGUGCUAGCAUGGUGGUGAGGAUGGAGAUGAUGAUGAUAGUGGUGAUGACGAUGAUGAUGGUGGUGAAGAUGGUGGUGAUGUUGGUGAUGGUGAUAAUCAUUUAUUGAUUACUUUUUUACCUGCCAGGUAAUAUUCUAUAAGCUUCCCAUGCAUUAACCUACAGCACAAGGUUGUCACAUUUGCUGAUGUGGAAACAGGCACGGAGAAGUUUGGAGCUGUACCCGAGAGCAUAGAGAGGCUAUUGACAGAGCCUGGCAGUAAAGCCAGAGAGUUCAGAAUCCUCUCUGCCCACCUUCCAUGGGGUGGGCAUGAGCCCAGGAGAGAGUACUUGUCAGAGACUUGAGGGGUCACCGACUGCUUGCUCAUCAGAAGCACCUGAAAUAUAUACAGAUGCAAAAUAGGGAAAGGUGGUAAGAGGAAAAAAGGGGGGAGGGGAGAAAAUGAAGAAGGAACAAACAAAGGAAGCCUCCAGAGGGAGGGGACCGAGGGCCAGAGGGACCAGUGCCUGCUGUGUGGCGGGUUCUGGCCCACCUAGCCAGAGUCUGCAGUGCUUGCAGCCUGAAGCGUCUCGGAAGGUGCCACCGCCACCACCUGCUUGCUCUGCUUGGCAUCAGUCUUGAGGUAGGGAGGAGAGACCAGGGCUGGAAGCAAGUUUGGCAGAGCCGGGCUGGGGUCUCUUUGGUAUUCUUUGCAGGACUUGGAACUCAGUGGGUGCUUAAUAAAUGUUUAUUAUGGGUAAUAAAAUCAACCUUGUUUACACCAGGACUGUCUCCAAAGACCACUUUCCAUACUUAAAAAUAACCUUAAUCUCCUCUCGCCACAUCCUCCACAGAUGGGGUCGACUCUACAGUAUGCCUGGCGAGGGACGAGAAGGCCUACAGACCACACACAUCCCAGCUUAGCUCUCCCCAGGCCCCCACCUCUGAUCUCUGGAGAACCCGGGACACAGGUUGACCCCUAGAUCUUCCUCAUGGGACUUGGAGGUAUGGUGGACUCAACUGUAUCCCUUACCUUAAUCCAAAAUUUGGAACCUGAACCUUACAGUGCAACCAGAAAAGAUGGCCUCCCCCAAGUGCCCAGCUCCUUCCUCAGAGGCUCCGUGCACAGCAGUGUCCUGGAUGUUCCCUCUCACAAAUACACUGGAGCAGGACAUGACUCUUCAGUGGGCUAAAACUAUCUCAGAGAGGUGCCAGUCUCACUAGCCAGCCCUACCAAGCAAAGAUGCCCGUGCCCACAGAGUAGGCCCUUCUGGGGAAGGCCUGCCUCCUGUGUGGAGUGUGCUCAGCUCUCUGCUCCCAACCUCACAUUCUCUAGCAGGUGGUCUGAGACACAGGCUAGCCCACUGUGUCUAGAGAGUGGGUCUGCGGGCCUGGGUAGACCUGUCCCCAGCCUGAGCCCAUGCCCAGGACCACAGGCCCUGUGAACCCUCGCCUGUUCUUUUUGAUGGAUACUUCCCCUCCCUCCAUCCCUCUCUCCCUCCAUUCCUCCUCCUUCCCUCCCUGUGUCCCUCUCUGCUUCUCUCUCUCCCUGUCUGCCUUCUCUAUCCUCACAGAUGCUCACCCCCCCCCCCAUUUCUGUGGUUCCUAUCACCCAUUCUCCAAACCCUCUUUCCAUAUGAGGUGGUGAGGACUGGACUUCUUGGACCAUGGCUAUGACUACAGGUCACACAUGACAAAUAUAGAGGUCACACAUGACAGAUAUAGAGGUCACACAUGACACAUCCAUGUGCUUCCCCUUGUGCACACAAUGCACACAGCACACAAAGACAGCCAUUACUAGAACUUGCUGCACCUCGCUCUUGCUGCACAGGGCCCGGAAUGGUGAUGGAGCCAGCAGGGAGCUGAUUUUGUUUUCUGGUGCUGGGUAUGGAACCUGGGGGCUGUGCCCAUGCUAAGCACAUGCUCCACCGCUAAGCUGUGCCCCAAGCUGUGGCAGCAGGGGGCUUAGAGAGCUCCUAAGAACUCGCUGGGCACGGCAUGGGAUGGGCAGGAGGCGCUGGUUUCCUUCUUUUCUGGUGCGGUGACUGAAGUCAGGUGCUUGCUAGGUGAGUGUUGUUACCACUGAGUUUAAUGCUUAAGCCAGUAGACCUUAGCCAGGCCCCAAGGGGAGCCCAGGCACAGGGAGACACCCGCCAGCCCUGCCAGUCUAUCAGGCCUGCUGAGCCUUGCUGAUUGCCUGCACUUUAGUCCUCGAGGGUGGCAGGCACUGGGAGCCAGUGCUACCCAGGCUCCUCUGUGGAGUGGGGAGCCAAGUUGCAGGCAUGCUUAUUCUCAGCAGCUCUGUGCAGGAGCUCCUGACAAACCCAGGAGAGUGCUCAUGCCGGGAUACAGUGGCUCACAACCAACAUGUGAGUAGAAGAAUCCCUGACACACAGAAAUAGGGCACUGGGCUGGGUGGACCAAAUUUGAUGUGUAGAUAUGAGUGACAAUCAGCAGGUCUGUGUACACUUAUGCUCGGGUGGCACUGAGGUGUGGCCGGGGUCAGGGGCAGGAGGAACACUGCGGAAUGUCAAGGGCGAGGCAGGAAGCAGCUUCCAGAAAAAUGUUCCUGUCAGUACCUAACAGCCCCAGACAACUCGGGGUUGCAGGUGCUGCUACAGGGAGGGUCUCAGGAGGUGAGGAGCUGGGGAAGCAGAGGGUCCCCUCACUCGGAGACUGGAGGAUGCGGGAACCACAGACAGGCUAAGGAUUUACAACAGCUGCGGAAACACCAGACCCUUCUCUGCGGGCGCUUGUCUAUGCCAGCCAGAGGAGCGAGAUAAGCCAUCUGAGAACAUUGUACGACAACUCAGGUGGUUUCAGAUGGCUACGGGUGACAUCUCCAAACGAGAGAUAACGUGUCAGGGACACGUGGGCAGUGCUGCAUUGUCCCAGCAGCCUGUUGAGGAGACUCAGGCAGAAGUAUUGGCUUCCGUGGGAAGUGAAAUUUCAACUACCCACCUCCUGGAUGGUGCCACAGUGGGAGGCAAACUGAGUCAUCCCCAGCCACGGCGAGAAAGUGCUAAGAUUCUUACAUAGUGCUCUUACAUAUUCCAACCAAGCAAGUACCCCAAACUGUCCCCUGAAAGUGACUUUACGAGGUUCAGCUGAUUGAUAGAGUAGCAGAUUUUAGAGGUUCCCAAAGCUCUGGGCAUGCUGAACCCCAUGCCCUGGGCAGCCACAGCCUGCUUACCUCUGUAAGGCUGGCUGGAACAGGUGCUCCCAGGCAAGGCCACCUCUGGUGUGCAACUAUGCUUGGCACCGCUAAUCUAUCACCUAGGCCAUGACCUUCAAGUGGGACAAGUUCUAAAGGAAAGAAUUCUCAGGACUCUCUCUGGAGGCUUAGCAGUAUUUCUGUGAACUAGGGCAUGAGAUGGGGGCAAGCUGGCUGUAGUGCAGCUAGGAAAGCAGCCAUCACCUUACAGGCAGGGGGUAGUGAAUUUCUCUCCGUGUAUGAGCCAUUCCGGCCUCUGGGAAGUAGGGUGAGGAGCCAUCCCAUCACUGUCUUGGCUCAGGAAGAGGGAAUCCCUGAUAGGAACUAGUCCCUUGGGACCCUUCUUGCCUAGGUCACCCCAUAAGGACCAUACGCUGGCUGUGACUGAGUUGGCCUGGUGCCCGCGUCCCUUCUGGGGGAUCUAGCUGAUUGUUUACUGGGCCAAAGUACAGUCAGGCCAGGGACUCACUGUCUCUGUUUGAGAUUAUUUCAGAAGGUUUGGUGGUGCCCCACUCAGCAGGAGCUGGGAGCCCUGUCUCCUACAGGAAGGUAUCUGAAUGCCUCAUCUUGCCUGCUGCUGGUCUGCUCAUGAAGAAAAGGUUUCUGCAACAAGGGAGGAGCCAUGUCCAGAGUCACACCAGGAGUGAGGAGGGCCUGUUUCCAGUGCCUGCAGCCGCUCUUAAAGUCUGAACCACGUGUCACGGAGUCUCCAGUUCUCUUGGGUGAUGGUCUUAGAAGGCUUGGGCUACAGUAAGGAUGCUAUCCAUCUCCCUCUGGUGGCCAGCCUUCUCUCAGCCUUUUUCCAUCCUCUGCCUCAUUGAGCUGCCCACCCCAGGUACCACUUGCUAUGGCUUUAUUCACUCAUAGGAAUGCCCUUAGGUCAUUUUCUUAUCGGGCAGAUGGGGUCCCAAGCUUGCUGACAAUGCAUCUUCAAGUAGAUGAUGUACUUCAACCCAGAGAUCUCGAAGCACAAACCCUCACAACUCACCCCUGAUGACCUGUGUCCGGUCCAGCGGACUUCAUGUCAUAGCUGGUUUGGGGGCGUGGGUCAUAUCCGUGGCCCAGUUGCCUGUGCAUCGUGUGGCCUAAAAGGAGCACAGAUGGUCUCUUCUCACCUAGAGGGGACAAGGACAUCUUGCCCAUGUCACUUCAGGUCCGCUGCAGGCCAUUCUUAUAUUCAGCUCAGUCCCCAGCCCUGAGCUCAGCGGGUGAGCAUGGACCAAUGUCUUAGGGGACUUCAGAGAACCAGGGACAGUGGGGCCUGCAGAAAAUAGGCAGAGCCACCUCAGGGCCUCUAAGAAGUUGGGUGGGACUAGGGCCUUCUGUUUCACUUGUCCUUAGAGACACAGCCAGAAUCCCUUUAACCCGCAGUAGGGAUGACCAGGAGAGAGGAGUCGCCAUAUUGAAGGUGGAUAUCCAUCCCAUUUAGGUCAGCCUCCUGCCUCAGGCUCCCUGAGGCACACAUGUUUCUGAAGGAAGUAAACAUUUCCUUGGCAAAGAAUUCUCAAGAACGCGGAACGAGUUUCUCAUUUAAAAAAUGCAGAGGUGUUCUGGAAACUGACUUGGGAUCUCUUUUGGAAUUCUCCUCCAGGAGGGGAACCUGAGCACUGCCCUUCAUCUCCCCAGUGCUGGAUUGAGGAGGAAACACUCAUAGAAUGUAGGUGUAGCCACAGAGUUGCCUCAUUGAAGGCACGAUGAUCUUAGGGGCAGGCUCUGGGCCCCUCCCUCCCAAGGCUGUGAGUGUUCACCUGUCAUGGAGGGCCUUGGUCAAUGGAAUCACCUUGCUCAGUGCCUGCGUCCUCCUCCCCCCCCCCCAAAAUAAACUGAUCUGCGGCCUGAACAGGUCCACUGAGCUCCAAACUUUGCCCCCUGUGAAAAUCUGAAGCAUGCAGCUGGGCUGGCUGCCCCCUCCGCUCCCUGAUCCUUUAAUCUGAGACUAUUAAAACUUCAUUCCACUUCUAUUGGUAAACCAUCCAUCACUCUCACCAAGCAGCGCAGGGCUGUGGGAGCCCAGCGGGAGGGCGGCAGGCAGAGGGAGGGGUAGGCAGGCAGACUGCCCCCAGCUGCCUGCCCUGCCAGUCCUGGCCAGAAUGGGGCGGGGAGGCCGCUGUCCUUGAAGAGGACAAGGCUCGUGA